Molecule: long non-coding RNA, 557 nt
Organism: Haliotis rufescens (red abalone)
Lineage: Eukaryota; Metazoa; Mollusca; Gastropoda; Lepetellida; Haliotidae
Exons: 3
Source: RefSeq, a predicted model, not a curated record
UUUCAUUUCUAGUGGGGAUAAACGAAGAGAGUGAGAAUAUUGGGGCUCAGAAUUUCGGAUUAUACGUACAUUCGCCGAAUCUCCCCACGUACACUUGCAGGGAGUGUUCAUGUGCGACGCUGGUUUUGUUUGCAUAAUCCAGCCUGUAAUUAGCCGGCGGUUGAUGACGUAACUACCCCCCUCCCAAACCACAUGGGGACGCCACCCGCCCGUCCGAAAACAGCAUGACAUUACACACCACGCCACGUGCCCAUUGUCUAGAAGACUCAGGGGCUUCAUAGUCCCCAAACCAUCCAGCAUUGUAUUGGGAGUCGCUUAGCGUGCACCCAACCGAGACCUCAUCCUCCCCAAGCAUUUAGUGGUAAGUUAGUUUCUGUCCUCAUACUCUAUUAGGGCUGACGACAGACAGAUAGGACACCCGUGGUUAGGGGAGUCGAGUUGCAAAGUAACCUUCACACUUCCCCAACAAUGAAAAGCGCCAUUGCUUGAAUGAAAUAACAUUCGACGCGAGCUUUUGGAGAGCUAUUUUGUUAAGUUUCUAUACAACCGUCCUCGCA